Molecule: ribosomal RNA, 274 nt
Filed under: uncultured bacterium
Lineage: Bacteria
Description: partial 16S ribosomal RNA
Rfam family: Bacterial small subunit ribosomal RNA
Source: RNAcentral
UACGGAGGGUGCGAGCGUUGUUCGGAAUUAUUGGGCGUAAAGCGCACGUAGGCGGCCUGGUAAGUCUCACUGUGAAAGCCCGGGGCUCAACCCCGGGAGGCCAGGGGAUACUGCCGGGCUGGAGACAGGUAGAGGCUGGUAGAAUUCCGGGUGUAGCGGUGGAAUGCGUAGAGAUCCGGAGGAAUACCUGAGGCGAAGGCGGCCAGCUGGACCUGAUCUGACGCUGAGGUGCGAAAGCGUGGGGAGCGAACAGGAUUAGAAACCCCCGUAGUCC